UACGUAGGUGGCAAGCGUUGUCCGGAAUUAUUGGGCGGAAAGCGCGCGCAGGCGGUCCUUUAAGUCUGAUGUGAAAGCCCACGGCUCAACCGUGGAGGGUCAUUGGAAACUGGAGGACUUGAGUACAGAAGAGGAAAGCGGAAUUCCACGUGUAGCGGUGAAAUGCGUAGAGAUGUGGAGGAACACCAGUGGCGAAGGCGGCUUUCUGGUCUGUAACUGACGCUGAGGCGCGAAAGCGUGGGGAGCAAACAGG
RNAcentral lists this ribosomal RNA (253 nucleotides) under uncultured bacterium. RNAcentral describes it as "partial 16S ribosomal RNA". It matches the Rfam family "Bacterial small subunit ribosomal RNA", at positions 524 to 776 of the family's 1533-position model. The record is from RNAcentral.